GGGACUCACCUGAAAUUGCUGGUUAGAAAGGGAAGCAGUGGCCCACUUUUCAGUAGAUUUUAUACUUCUCAAGACGUGAACAUUCCGGGGCAGGUAAAGUUCCUAUGGAAAGUGCUUAGUGUCCACGAGAUUGGCUAUAAAAACAACCGUGAAUAUGACUAGCUUUGAGAGUCAGAAACUCUGAUCAUCUGCCAAGGCUCUCCACCGGCAAGAAAAAGGUGAAGGCAGAACUGGCACUGAUCAUCUUCUGAAUUCCCUUUCAAGGUUGAAAAUAUGGAUAGCACAGCCCAAUCUUUGCUAUUGAUGUUCUUAUGAGCCAAAUGGUUGUUGCAAAAUAAGAUUCUAGUCAUUGUGUCUAAGCCCAAAGCCAUGAGAUGGAGGAAUACACUCUUCCCUCAUUGAGGAGUUGACUCUCCUAUAAGUCAUGAAACUUAUGAAUUUGAAGCAAGUAGAAGCCUGCUAAGUUCUUGUGCACCGAGGCUUUUCUUUUGGAAUGCCGUCUUGAGACCACCAUGAUAUGGAGAAACUCCCCGGGAAGGAGCCCAGGUGAAAGGCCAUGUGGAGAGAGAGGUCCAGCCAUUCCAGGCUUUGCAGAUAAGUUCAAACCCUGGCCAAUUAGCCAGCUUAAUGCAGCAUAUGAGGGAGCCCAGGGUUUCUGCAAGUGGAUUAAUCAGCCCUGUGUAUUCAUUCUACCACCAGAGCAACAAUUCAUUUUGAUUAUUAUGUUA
Long non-coding RNA from Homo sapiens (human), 728 nucleotides. RefSeq lists it as uncharacterized. NCBI's taxonomy places the organism in Eukaryota, Metazoa, Chordata, Mammalia, Primates, Hominidae. The transcript is spliced from 6 exons. The record is from RefSeq and is a predicted model, not a curated record.